GCUUGGAAUCGAAAUAAAUCGUCAGUCAGAACUAAUAUGUCACAAACCGAACCAACAACCUAUAGAGUAUCUACUGUUCAACGAAACCUUCGCCUUGUAUUGUGCAAAUAUUGGCAAAAAGGCCUACUUUAUAUAAACACUACCAAAUAAAUAUUAUACGAGGACGCAUGUAAAAAUGAGCUAUGGGGACCCGAUAUCGACGAAUUUUGCUCGUUGAGAGAAUCGAUUGCAGUUUAUACAACUUGUGUCAUUUAUUCUUUGGCCAAAAUGGGCAACUCACAUUAAUUGACGACUUGACUUACGAGCUCUGACUACAACUCAAACUAAACAAAACAACAACUCAGAAACAAGUUGGGUCUUCUAUGACGAGUCUGUCAGGCAAAGCAACUGGUGGUGAGGAAGAAAGACAUGUUGUUCGGCAGAGAAAAAAAGUGGAAUAAUUAAGUACUUCGAAGGUGGUAAACAUUUUGGACUACCCCCGUGGGGAGCAGAAUCUAUUUGUGAGGUUUUUAAGCCUUUAGAAUGGCAAAGGUCAUCCUCGAUUCCGUUGUAAACCUUCCUACACAUGGAGCCAAAACAACAAAACGAAAGUCAAGUUUCGAAGAGGGGACACAAAGUUUAUGCGAGUCAAAUAUGCGGGAUAUUGCUCGCAAGGAAGUGGAACUUACACAAGCAAAAUACAAACAUAUAUGUAGGAACUCAGCAAGCCGAUGCAUUGGAUUAAGCCAGCGCCUUGAGGCCAGCGUCAAUGUAGUGAAGAUAAUGUAGAUUUUAAUAAACAAAUAUUUACAUAAUUAGUCAUUUUAAUAGUUACAUGCAUAUCGGAUAGUUCUUCGCUGUCCUAUUUUUUUGACAGAGCCCUAAUAGCAGUGCGAUGGCCACAUGGUCGUGUACAAUACGAAUGAAAUGUGUGAUGGGACACGUUGGAAUCAUUGACUUUAAAUCGAUGAAUUUCGUGGCCGGGAAGCAAUGACGAUAGGAAUCAUACCAGCGUUGGAGAACAUCUUAAGAUUUUAAAAAGAAAUUUAAGUUUAAGAAAUUUAAGAAAUUUAAGGCGUAAGUUGUUUCUUGAAUGGGUAAAAAAUUAAAACAUGUGCUGGCAGAAUUACCUGCGCUGACAUCAAGUAAUAUUUAUCUCUUAUAGUAGAUUCCGAACCUUUGGACCCUUGUUUCUGAUCCCUUAUGCAGAUCAUAAGCUGAGGAAGAUUAUAAAUUGAGAUUUAAUAAAUUCAAGAAACGAGUAAUGUUAUGCACGGCACCAUCGUUUUCAGGUCCCAGUGAUAAACGUAUGAUAAGCAGGAGGGGAGGUACCUCGUGUUACCAAGAUCGAAAAGGACAUCCCGCUCGCGGAUGACGACGAACCAACCGACGGACUAGGAGAGGGACGAGAUCAUUAAUGUUUACCACAAUCAAAUUUAAGCCUAAAGUUUGAAUGGAUGGAGUAGCGCUGGCCUCACAUAAGACGCUGGUUCAUUUGGAACAAACAUCACAUCAAUUUAGAGAAAUUGUAAUACCGGAUCGCACAGACGACACUAUUAAAACCUCAGCAACGCAAUAAUUCUCUUUGAUACAUCUGAAAUAACGAAAUUUAAGCGAGCCAAAUAUAAAUUACGA
Long non-coding RNA from Folsomia candida, 1614 nucleotides. RefSeq lists it as uncharacterized. NCBI's taxonomy places the organism in Eukaryota, Metazoa, Arthropoda, Collembola, Entomobryomorpha, Isotomidae. The record is from RefSeq and is a predicted model, not a curated record. The transcript is spliced from 7 exons.